GACGAACGCUGGCGGCGUGCCUAAUACAUGCAAGUCGACCUUAGUGGCGACCGGGUGAGUCAAACGUGGGUAACCUGCCCAUCAGAAGGGGAUAACACUUGGAAACAGGUGCUAAUACCGUAUACUGAUGGCUGGACCCGCGGUGCAUUAGCCAGUUGGUUAGGUCACGGCUCACCAAGGCCACGAUGCAUAACCGACCUGUGAGGGUGAUCGGCCACAUUGGGACUGAGACACGGCCCAAACUCAGACGGGAGGCAGCAGUAGGGAAUCGUCGGCAAUGGACGAUAGUCUGACCUAGCAAUGCCGCGUGAGUGAAGAAGGUUUUCGGAUCGUAAAACUCUGUUGUUAGAGAAGCGGUAUCUAACCAGAAAGCCACGGCUAACUACGUGCCAGCAGCCGCGGUAAUAC
Molecule: ribosomal RNA, 408 nt
Filed under: uncultured bacterium
Lineage: Bacteria
Description: partial 16S ribosomal RNA
Rfam family: Bacterial small subunit ribosomal RNA
Source: RNAcentral